UACGUAGGGUGCGAGCGUUGUCCGGAAUUAUUGGGCGUAAAGAGCUCGUAGGCGGUGUGUCGCGUCGGCCGUGAAAACCUGGGGCUCAACUCUGGGCGUGCGGUCGAUACGGGCAUCACUUGAGUUCGGCAGGGGAGACUGGAAUUCCUGGUGUAGCGGUGAAAUGCGCAGAUAUCAGGAGGAACACCGGUGGCGAAGGCGGCAUCCUGGACCGGUAUUGACACUGAGGCGCGAAAGCCAGGGGAGCAAACGGG
This 254-nucleotide ribosomal RNA is filed under the name uncultured bacterium. Its description in RNAcentral is "partial 16S ribosomal RNA". It matches the Rfam family "Bacterial small subunit ribosomal RNA", at positions 524 to 776 of the family's 1533-position model. The record is from RNAcentral.